UGGGAACUUCCCUGGCCACUGUGCAUGC
This 28-nucleotide small RNA is filed under the name Bombyx mori (domestic silkworm). Its description in RNAcentral is "ovarian small RNA-3834". Lineage: Eukaryota; Metazoa; Arthropoda; Insecta; Lepidoptera; Bombycidae. The record is from RNAcentral.